UUUUUUUGUUUUGUGUUUGUAAAAUUUUGCAGGAAGCAAAAGAUUGAGUAACAGAGAAAAGAUUUGACCAAUUGCUGCAGGUGAUACUGGACACACAUAUUUUCGAGAUAUUGGUGACAAUACCUGGAAUUAAGUAUGUUAUUGAUCCUGGACUGGUGAAAGCGUGAAGUACAUGCUUAUAUAUUUGUGCAAACCUGGUCCAUCCGGGGUAUAAGUUCUCCUUCAACUCAUCAACAUAUUCGUAUAGCAGUUUACAAGCUAUUGCCUUCUACCGGAGGAUACUUGUUUUUAUACCAAUUCUUAAAUCCCCGUGUUAUAGUCUCCAUUCUUGAGAAUGGAGACUGUAACACUCGGGGGUCUAAGGAUUGUAUAGAAACAAGUGUGCUAGAGGAGAAGGUAUAGCUUGUAAAAGGCUAUGCAACUAUGUGGAUGAAUUGAAGGAGGGUUUGUACCCAUGGAUUGACCAAGUUUGCAUAAAUAUAUGUGCAUGUAUUUCGUACAAGCUAUUGAUUUCCCAUAUUCGAAUCACUUCCCUCUCAGAAGCAAAUGAAGAUUUUCAUGCCUUCACCCGCAGGAUAUCGUAAGGUUGAUUUUUUUUCUUUUAAUGGUUUAUUUUUUGAAGUUUGAGAUGGAUGAAUUCACUGCUUUGUCUAUAUCCAGGGGUGCAAUUAGGUAGCUGUGUGAAAAUAUUACUUAAAUGAACUUCUUUUAUUGAAUUGUUCAGUAGAUAAUUUAAGAAUUGAGGUUAAUAUCCUCAUUUGGAAAAAAUUAAAUAAUUUGAACUCGAUAUCAUCUUGCAUCUAUCUGCCUGAAAACUCAAUAUCGAGUCGCAGUUCUAAAGGGAUAAUCCACUUGCCGAAUUACAUACAUAACUCAAUUGAAACAAAUGCUGGAUAACAAGGUUUAUUCACUUCACUUCAUGUGACUUUAAUAUGCUUUAAUUGGUAAUCCACUUUUACAUAAGCACAGUGCAUAUGUAGUAUAAGCUAAGAAUAUUUACGGGGAUGUACUUAUGAUUUGAAGAUUUAUAUUUCUUGGAUCUGUAUCUAAUACUUGGUUUCCGAAGAACAAGAUGAUAAAUAGUGAAGAGAAGGCAGUCACUCUCUAAAACAUGCUUGUAAUAUCCACAGGUGGGCAUAUGUACUUCAACUUCAAGGAAAAAUUAUUGAAAAUCUAUUCUGCUAUAUGAUUUUUUCCACUUCCACAGUUCUUUUGAUAAAAUGUUAUAUUCUUAUGUCCGUGCUUGUCAUAUUUCACUGUUAUACGACGAAUUUGCUUCUUCUCAUUUGCACUGAUUGUCCAAGUAUGUUAUAUUCUUAUGUCCGUGCUUGUCAAAUUCUGAGGAAUGUUGAAAAAAUGGGUCUUCGUGUCACUUCCUGUGAAGAUGACACACUUCUCCUCGUUUUUCCUUAAACUAGCUAUGGAGCAGCCUGACGGUGAAUACAGGUAAAGAUUUGAUAGGAUUUUUAUUUCGACUCAACUUUGCAAUAACAAAGUUAAUCUGUACUGGCAGGGUCACAUUAAGUAGUUUGAUAGUCCAAAUAUACACUUCUUCUGUCUUGUUCCGCACCAAGCCAGUGUGUAUAGUUUUAAUGAACUAGUCCAUCAUUAUGUACGUAAUGUUUCUAGAAUCGAUUACUUGUGCCUAGUUGAGCUGGCUCCUCACUUGUAUGCCGUGCAAGACUAAAUGUGUGCCUACUUUGGUUUUGCCAAUUUCUCAGUUCCAACAACCUGAUGAGAUCCAUCUGUGGCAUUCCAUACGAGUGUUCCUCGUUUAUACAUUGUGAAAUCAUUUGUCACUAUAUGAUUUUUGCUUCUCUCUGGGUUGACGUUGUCCAAACGUGCCCAAAACAGGAUUGAAAUUGUUGAAUGCAUAGAUGUAAGCACACUUUUUAUCUUGACAGGUAUGGUGUUGAAACUGUUUACGAGCUCUAUCCACUGUCUGCAGAGUUGAACGACGAUAUGAAGGAGAAGAAUGCUACUCUAUAAUCGAUAGAGAGUGCUUCUCCCCUCGUGAUUCGGAUUAGACGGGCUAGUAGGUUUCGGAUACACUGAUUCUAAUUCAUUAGAGUGACUCAAUCCUAGCAAGGGUAAACAAACAUUCGGUGAUUUCUUCUCAUAUGUCAAGUCUUGGGUGGACAGAACUACUCGGCAUUUGUGUCGGUGGAAGUUAACAUGAAAUUAGUCGAGCUGUGCUCAAACACCAAGGUCAUUCAUUAGAAAAAUAGUUAUAUGCAAAAUGUAAAGAUUGUAUUUUUUUUUAACUCAACCUUUUUCCUUUGGAGUUUUUUUUU
Molecule: long non-coding RNA, 2294 nt
Organism: Solanum stenotomum
Lineage: Eukaryota; Viridiplantae; Streptophyta; Magnoliopsida; Solanales; Solanaceae
Exons: 3
Source: RefSeq, a predicted model, not a curated record